UUNCGGUUGAUCCUGCCGGACUCCACUGCUAUCGGGGUAAGGCUAAGCCAUGCAAGUCGAAGGCCUCCGGCUCCGGGGGCCUGGCGUACGGCUGAGUAACGCGUGGCCAACCUGCCCUGCGGAGGGGGAUAACCCCGGGAAACUGGGGAUAAACCCCCAUAGGUGACCGGAUCUGGAAGGACCGGUCGCCGAAAGUCCCGGUCGGGGAUGCUCCGGCCGGGAGCCGCAGGAUGGGGCUGCGUCCUAUCAGGUAGUUGGUGGGGUAACGGCCCACCAAGCCUGUGACGGGUAGGGGCCCUGAGAGGGGGAGCCCCCAGAUGGACUCUGAGACAAGAGUCCAGGCCCUACGGGGCGCAGCAGGCGCGAAAACUCCGCAAUGGGCGAAAGCCCGACGGGGUUACCCCGAGUGCCACCCUCGUGGUGGCUUUUGCCCGCUCUAAAAAGGCGGGCGAAUAAGGGGAGGGCAAGUCGGGUGUCAGCCGCCGCGGUAAUACCCGCUCCCCGAGUGGUGGAGGCUAUUACUGGGCCUAAAGCGCCCGUAGCCGGCCCGGUGUGUCCCUCGUUAAAUCCACGGGCUUAACCCGUGGGCUGCGGGGGAUACUACCGGGCUUGGGGGUGGGAGAGGCGCCCGGUAUUCCCGGGGUAGGGGUAAAUCCUCUGAUCCCGGGAGGACCAUCAGUGGCGAAAGCGGGGCGC
RNAcentral lists this ribosomal RNA (696 nucleotides) under uncultured prokaryote. RNAcentral's name for it is "bacterial SSU rRNA". It matches the Rfam family "Archaeal small subunit ribosomal RNA", at positions 1 to 680 of the family's 1478-position model. The record is from RNAcentral.